GCACACUCACGAUGCCACGAAGGAGACAAAAAUGCCAGAAAUUCGUGAAACUGAAACUUUAACUGCAGAGAAAUACAACCUUGAAUCAAUAUCAGGACUUUGAGCAACUUUUUGACGCUCGGGCCAUGUUUUUCGCUAUUCAUUAUACCAUUUCAUAUUGGUUAUCAGGCGGCUAUUCCAUGCUCAUUUUGAUUAAACUAGAACUCUAAUUAAAGCUUGAUUAACCCCCUUUUUCUUUACAUAAUUAAUUCAUGGCAUAAUGUUCUCAAUUUGUACGUAGGUGAAAGCCAGUAGUUCUGGUGAGAUAAAAAUCUAACCAAAUCUUGUAAAUUAACGUGGCUUGUUUAGUUUUUGCUUGG
This 359-nucleotide unclassified non-coding RNA is filed under the name Hevea brasiliensis (rubber tree). The record is from RNAcentral. Lineage: Eukaryota; Viridiplantae; Streptophyta; Magnoliopsida; Malpighiales; Euphorbiaceae.